This 444-nucleotide ribosomal RNA is filed under the name uncultured bacterium. RNAcentral describes it as "bacterial SSU rRNA". It matches the Rfam family "Bacterial small subunit ribosomal RNA", at positions 28 to 469 of the family's 1533-position model. The record is from RNAcentral.
GAUGAACGCUGGCGGCGUGCCUAAUACAUGCAAGUCGAACGCUUCACUUCGGUGAAGAGUGGCGAACGGGUGAGUAAUACAUAAGUAACCUGGCAUCUACAGGGGGAUAACUGAUGGAAACGUCAGCUAAGACCGCAUAGGUGUAGAGAUCGCAUGAACUCUAUAUGAAAAGUGCUACGGGACUGGUAGAUGAUGGACUUAUGGCGCAUUAGCUGGUUGGUAGGGUAACGGCCUACCAAGGCGACGAUGCGUAGCCGACCUGAGAGGGUGACCGGCCACACUGGGACUGAGACACGGCCCAGACUCCUACGGGAGGCAGCAGUAGGGAAUUUUCGGCAAUGGGGGAAACCCUGACCGAGCAACGCCGCGUGAAGGAAGAAGUAAUUCGUUAUGUAAACUUCUGUCAUAGAGGAAGAACGGUGGAUAUAGGGAAUGAUAUCCAAG